GGCGUUGUACCCAAGUGGUAAGGGAGCAGUCUGCAAAACUGUCAUUCGCCGGUUCGAUCCCGGCCAACGCCU
This 72-nucleotide transfer RNA is filed under the name Fidelibacterota bacterium. RNAcentral describes it as "tRNA-Cys". It matches the Rfam family "tRNA". Rfam says of the family: Transfer RNA (tRNA) molecules are approximately 80 nucleotides in length. Their secondary structure includes four short double-helical elements and three loops (D, anti-codon, and T loops). Further hydrogen bonds mediate the characteristic L-shaped molecular structure. tRNAs have two regions of fundamental functional importance: the anti-codon, which is responsible for specific mRNA codon recognition, and the 3' end, to which the tRNAs corresponding amino acid is attached (by aminoacyl-tRNA synthetases). tRNAs cope with the degeneracy of the genetic code in two manners: having more than one tRNA (with a specific anti-codon) for a particular amino acid; and 'wobble' base-pairing, i.e. permitting non-standard base-pairing at the 3rd anti-codon position. The record is from RNAcentral. Lineage: Bacteria; Pseudomonadati; Fidelibacterota.